UAGCCUUUCUCUUCUUUUUCUAAGUUGAAGACUUCCCCUCCCGUAAGUGGAUGCCAUCACCUACAAGUCGGCAGCCACGACUGCUUCCACCGUCCAAGCUCAGUAGACCGCCGGUGGCUCCUCAGAUCGCGCGCGUGUUCAAUUUAGCGGCGGAUCUUGCGGGCUCUGCUCAACAUCGCGAAGGAUUACGCCCUGCCCUUCCUCUUCUCUUCUCAGGAAACCGCAACUGAGAGUGAAGGGAAAAGAGAAGGAAGUAUGGAGUGAGGAUUCAAGAGAAGAAUUCAUGGGAGAAAAAUGAGGGAAAGACAACGUUUACAUUGGUUGCUUUAGAUUUUCAUUGAAAGCUUUUAAUUUUGAACAAUAUAUUCUGGCAAAACAUUCUCCUUUUGUGUAGCUUUCUUACCUUCAAUAUUGGGUGUUUCUUGACAUGACAGUAUAAGGGCGAUGUGGUGGAUGGAAUUUUUGCGUACAUGUAGUCUCCAUUUUGGUUUGAAGGUAUUCAUAUAAAACUUGGUUACUAUCUCGGAUGAAGGAAAAGCCUCUGUUCAGUUGCAGUUCCUCUCCCUAAUGGUUAGAUUUGGUACCAUUAAAAGUCCCUCUUACUACUUGCUUGAAGGUAAAACAGUUCCCUCAAGGAUGCCAUGAGUUUGAAAGGUUGCUUGUGAUGAUUUUGUUGCUACUGGAUCAUUUGCAGUUGCAAGAGAGAAAGGACUUGUAAGUUUGGUGAAGGUCUACACUUGAUCAAAGUCAUUGAAGAAGAAGGUUGUGUUGAUCAAAGCCAUUGAAGUAGUUGAAGUAGUGCCGGAUUUGAAAGCUUAUUUGGAUGCAGCAAGCAUACUUAAGUAGUAUCAAUUUAGUAGUAUAUAUUUUCAUACUUAAGUAGUAUCAAUUAAGUAGUAUAUAUUUUCAUGACUUUUUU
Ipomoea nil (Japanese morning glory) is the source of this 919-nucleotide long non-coding RNA. RefSeq lists it as uncharacterized. The transcript has 4 exons. The record is from RefSeq and is a predicted model, not a curated record. Lineage: Eukaryota; Viridiplantae; Streptophyta; Magnoliopsida; Solanales; Convolvulaceae.